CUUGGUCAUUUAGAGGAAGUAAAAGUCGUAACAAGGUCUCCGUUGGUGAACCAGCGGAGGGAUCAUUACAGAGUUGCAAAACUCCCAACCAUUGUGAACCUACCUCACCGUUGCUUCGGCGGGUGGCCCUCUCCGGGGCCGCGCUGGCCCCCCCGGGGGUCGGCAACCCGUCAGAGGACUGAAACUCUUAGUAACCACUGGCCUCUCUGAGUAACUUAUAUAAUAAGUCAAAACUUUCAACAACGGAUCUCUUGGUUCUGGCAUCGAUGAAGAACGCAGCGAAAUGCGGUACGUAAUGUGAAUUGCAGAUUUCAGUGAAUCAUCGAAUCUUUGAACGCACAUUGCGCCCGCUAGUAUUCUGGCGGGCAUGCCUGUUCGAGCGUCAUUUCAACCAUCAAGCCCCCGGCUUGCGUUGGAGCCCUGCGGCUGCCGCAGGCUCCCAAAUACAGUGGCGGGCUCGUCGUCGUACCGAGUGCAGUAAACAUCCUCGCUCAGGGAACGCGUCGGGUUCUUGCCGUGAAACCCCCCCAUAUUAAGGUUGACCUCGGAUCAGGUAGGAAUACCCGCUGAACUUAAGCAUAUCAAUAAGCGGAGGAAAAGAAACCAACAGGGAUUGCCCCAGUAACGGCGAGUGAAGCGGCAACAGCUCAAAUUUGAAAUCUGGCUUCGGCCCGAGUUGUAAUUUGUAGAGGAAGCUUCUGGUGCGGCGCCGUCCGAGUCUCCUGGAACGGAGCGCCAUAGAGGGUGAGAGCCCCGUAUGGACGGAUGCCAAACCUGUGUGAAGCUCCUUCGACGAGUCGAGUUGUUUGGGAAU
Molecule: small RNA, 814 nt
Filed under: uncultured Podospora
Lineage: Eukaryota; Fungi; Ascomycota; Sordariomycetes; Sordariales; Lasiosphaeriaceae
Description: eukaryotic LSU rRNA
Rfam family: Eukaryotic large subunit ribosomal RNA (bases 540-814)
Source: RNAcentral